GAGGGUAUAGCUUAGUGGUAGAGUGUGUGCCUAUCAUGCUUGAGGUCCUGGGUUCAAUCUCCAGUGCCUCCA
RNAcentral lists this transfer RNA (72 nucleotides) under Camelus bactrianus (Bactrian camel). It matches the Rfam family "tRNA". From Rfam's summary of the family: Transfer RNA (tRNA) molecules are approximately 80 nucleotides in length. Their secondary structure includes four short double-helical elements and three loops (D, anti-codon, and T loops). Lineage: Eukaryota; Metazoa; Chordata; Mammalia; Artiodactyla; Camelidae. The record is from Rfam by way of RNAcentral. RNAcentral also lists the same sequence under 1 other name.